CCGAGUUUACAACUCCCAAACCCAAUGUGAACGUACCAACUGUUGCCUCGGCGGGAUCUCUGCCCCGGGUGCGUCGCAGCCCCGGACCAGGCGCCCGCCGGAGGACCAACCAAAACUCUUAUUGUAUACCCCCUCGCGGGUUGUUUUAUAAUCUGAGCCUCUCGGCGCCUCUCGUAGGCGUUUCGAAAAUGAAUCA
This 196-nucleotide unclassified non-coding RNA is filed under the name soil metagenome. RNAcentral describes it as "partial internal transcribed spacer 1". The record is from RNAcentral.